GGCCAGACUCCUACGGGAGGCAGCAGUGAGGAAUAUUGGUCAAUGGGCGUAAGCCUGAACCAGCCAAGUCGCGUGAGGGACGACGGCCCUACGGGUUGUAAACCUCUUUUGCCGGGGGACAAACGGCGGCACGCGUGCCGUCCUGAGGGUACCCGGAGAAAAAGCAUCGGCUAACUCCGUGCCAGCAGCCGCGGUAAUACGGAGGAUGCGAGCGUUAUCCGGAUUUAUUGGGUUUAAAGGGUGCGUAGGCGGGAUGCCAGGUAAGCGGUCAAAUGGGGGGGCUCAACCUGCGUCCGCCGUUGAAACUGGCAGUCUCGAGUUGGAGAGAAGUAUGCGGAAUGCGCGGUGUAGCGGUGAAAUGCAUAGAUAUCGCGCAGAACUCCGAUUGCGAAGGCAGCAUGCCGGCUCCACACUGACGCUGAGGCACGAAAGCGUGGGUAUCGAACAGGAUUAGAUACCCCAGUA
Molecule: ribosomal RNA, 465 nt
Filed under: uncultured bacterium
Lineage: Bacteria
Description: bacterial SSU rRNA
Rfam family: Bacterial small subunit ribosomal RNA
Source: RNAcentral